Molecule: ribosomal RNA, 274 nt
Filed under: uncultured bacterium
Lineage: Bacteria
Description: partial 16S ribosomal RNA
Rfam family: Bacterial small subunit ribosomal RNA
Source: RNAcentral
AUACGGAGGGUGCAAGCGUUACUCGGAAUCACUGGGCGUAAAGCGCGCGCAGGCGGCUAUUUAAGUUGGAUGUGAAAGCCUAUGGCUCAACCAUAGAACUGCAUCCAAAACUAUUUAGCUAGAGUGUGGGAGAGGAAGAUGGAAUUAGUUGUGUAGGGGUAAAAUCCGUAGAGAUAACUAGGAAUACCAAAAGCGAAGGCAAUCUUCUGGAACACUUCUGACGCUGAGGCGCGAAAGCGUGGGGAGCAAACAGGAGUAGAAACCCUAGUAGUCC